AACGAACGCUGGCGGCAUGCCUAACACAUGCAAGUCGAACGAGACCUUCGGGUCUAGUGGCGCACGGGUGCGUAACACGUGGGAAUUUGCCUCGGGGUAUGGAAUAACUCAGGGAAACUUGAGCUAAUACCAUAUAAUGUCUUCGGACCAAAGAUUUAUCGCCCUGAGAUAAGCCCGCGUAGGAUUAGCUAGUUGGUGGGGUAAAGGCUCACCAAGGCGACGAUCCUUAGCUGGUCUGAGAGGAUGAUCAGCCACACUGGGACUGAGACACGGCCCAGACUCCUACGGGAGGCAGCAGUGGGGAAUUUUGGACAAUGGGCGCAAGCCUGAUCCAGCGAUGCCGCGUGCAGGAUGAAGGCCUUCGGUUGGUAAC
Molecule: ribosomal RNA, 373 nt
Filed under: uncultured bacterium
Lineage: Bacteria
Description: bacterial SSU rRNA
Rfam family: Bacterial small subunit ribosomal RNA
Source: RNAcentral